CUUUACCAAAGCCCUGCCUGUGUUUGUGAUGAAAAUUAUUGGUUUGUUGAUAUUAGCCAACCUAACAGCCUGCCCUUUGUGGCUUCUCCUUGGGGCUGUGAUUAGAAUUCACAGUGACCCAAAGGUGGCUCAUCUCCAAGAAAAUCUUAACCUGGAAGGCUUUGUGUCCUAGCUAGGCCUGCCUCUGCUUAACUUCCCAUUCAGAAAAGAAACGCUCACCUAGAAUUGGGGUAGCUUUCUUUCUGAACAAGAAAUUGGGUGGAGCUAGGCCUAGCUAGGACACAAAGCCUUUCAGCUUAGGCCCUUUUCCCCAGGGGAACCACACUUCAGAGUCUGUAGGUGUCACUCCCACAGUGAAGAAGUAUGGGAUUUAUAGUCCACAGAAACUACAAAAAUAGUAUGCCUGCCUUCUAAACUAGCCUGCUGCCUUCAAAUGUGGCAAAGGACACAACCAAUGACUUAAAUUUCAGCUCAUGCAGAAUUUCAUGGCAAUACCCAGAUACAGCACUUCCAUUCAAAUACUGCACUUCAGAUGAAUCUGGAAUUCAAGAUGCCAAACCAAUGGAAUCAUUUGCCGUGGAUUUUGCUGGAGUUUACUACUUCAAACAGCAGUGCCAUGCCCUUGGAGUCUGGACCAAGAAGAGGACAAUCCUCAAGACUGCGGAUGGAGAACAGUGUGGCCCAAAACUGGAAAGAAGCUCCCCCACAUGCAAGAUAUGUGCUGUGCCACUCACUUGUAGCCCUUCUGCUAAGAGCUAUCAUGUCUGCACUGGAAGGAGUCUCAAAAACCAAGGCUGGAAUAGCUAGUAACUGCCAGGAUAGUCAGAGAAAAAUAAAGUUAUGGAAAAUGCCCUUCAUUUGUAUAAUUUAUACAGCUUAUAUACAUUUAGCUUUCUCCUUUGUAUAGGACAGACCACACAAAGGGUUGAAGUAGAUGUGAUUUAAAGCCAUUAUUAAAAUACAUGCUUAGAGUGACCACAUUUCUUUUCUUUAUUUUUAUAAUACAACUGUGGAUCAUGAUUGUGGUCUGGGAAAAGGUUUUUCAGCCAAUCCCCUCUCUGUUUUGUUGCUCAAAAUCCUAGGUUCAAAAUGGCUCUUUGCCCUCAUGCAAGAGCUUUUACAAUUCAGGCAAAUAACUCUGUGUGUGUGUGCGUGUGUGCGUGUGUGUGCGUGCGCGCGCUCCUGCCCUCCUGUUCUUUGUAAGGACAAAAUCAUGGCCAGUCAUUGUGUGUUGCUUAAUCACACUUGCUUAAAGCCACAAUUAACUGGACUCUUCACAAAUACUGAAAAAUGUCUUCUAAUGGCAACCUUCCCCUCUCAUAAGCGAGUAAUAAAUAAAUAAAUAACACGAAUUGCUUUCGCA
This 1363-nucleotide long non-coding RNA is filed under the name Pogona vitticeps (central bearded dragon). RNAcentral's name for it is "lncRNA (ENSPVIG00000011553.1)". Lineage: Eukaryota; Metazoa; Chordata; Lepidosauria; Squamata; Agamidae. The record is from RNAcentral.